GACGAACCGUGCGAACGUUGUUCGGAAUCACUGGGCUUAAAGGGCGCGUAGGCGGCUUGCCAAGUCGCGGGUGAAAUCUUUCGGCUUAACCGGAAAAGUGCCCGCGAUACUGGCCGGCUCGAGCGAGGUAGGGGCAGGGGGAACUUCCGGUGGAGCGGUGAAAUGCGUUGAUAUCGGAAGGAACGCCGGUGGCGAAAGCGCCCUGCUGGACCUCACCUGACGCUGAGGCGCGAAAGCCAGGGGAGCAAACGGG
RNAcentral lists this ribosomal RNA (253 nucleotides) under uncultured bacterium. RNAcentral describes it as "partial 16S ribosomal RNA". It matches the Rfam family "Bacterial small subunit ribosomal RNA", at positions 524 to 776 of the family's 1533-position model. The record is from RNAcentral.